CAUCAUUGUACACUAGGUUGACAAAGGCAUGUCUAAGCUUGGUAAGGCAUCAUUGUACACUAGGUUGACAAAGGCAUGUCUAAGCUUGGUAAGGCAUCAUUGUACACUAGGUUGACAAAGGCAUGUCUAAGCUUGGUAAGGCAUCAUUGUACACUAGGUUGACAAAGGCAUGUCUGUUGAAUAAGAAAAGGUAUG
This is a long non-coding RNA of Magallana angulata, 195 nucleotides long. RefSeq lists it as uncharacterized. NCBI's taxonomy places the organism in Eukaryota, Metazoa, Mollusca, Bivalvia, Ostreida, Ostreidae. The transcript is spliced from 2 exons. The record is from RefSeq and is a predicted model, not a curated record.